This is a non-coding RNA of Colinus virginianus (northern bobwhite), 46 nucleotides long. The record is from Rfam. Lineage: Eukaryota; Metazoa; Chordata; Aves; Galliformes; Odontophoridae.
CCAAAGGCUCUUUUCAGAGCCACCCACAAUUUCCCAAAAAGAGCAG